AAAAAAAGUAAACAAAAAUGGCGGAAAAUAGGAGACAUGAGACCGGCAUUGAAAUAGCUAAAAAUGAAAUAAGAGAAGCGAGACCAAGAAUAACUCUGAUUAUUAACGUUAAUUACCAAAGUUAACUUUUGAAAUGCUUUAAAGGAUAAAACGGCAGGUACGAGUCCUGCGACAGGCGAAGUUACUCCACAACUCUGUGGCGGCUAACGCUAAUGUUAGCAUGGUACCUCCAGUGAGAGCCAUUAGCCAAGAAGACAACUGAAGAUCAGAUACUGGCAGUGCCAGGACCGGACACGGACUCGGAAACAGCUGGAACAAGUACUAAGACAGCUCCUACAAACUGGAGAGACCACUAUAAAUUAAGGCCUGACGGGCAGAAAGAAGAGCUGCAGACAAACUGGAAGGGAUAUCAACAGAGAAAAGUGCCACACCACUGAUUAUGUAGCUCCUCCUCAGUCUUCACAUUCUUCAAAUGAAGAAGUCUUAAAUCGAUCAUAUGGUGGCAACGAUUACCUGGGAGUUUUAUGAUUCUGAUAUGUUCCUCAACCUUUUCCUAGGUUGCUUGAUUUCCAAAUAAUAUUAUAAAAGCAGUAUUAGAGUUUGGAUGUUAAUAGAAUUUUUUACAACCAACUUUCAAUUUCAACACUGGAACUUUUUUUUUUUAAAUUUUGUUCAUAAGUGCAAAACUUGUACAUCAGACAUUUUAAGAUACUGUAGAUGAGAGUGGUCCAAGUCCAAGUGUUUCCAAAAUGUAAUUUCAGAUGAAAACUGAAACUUGCACAAUAAACAACAGUAAGACAAAGUGGGAGAUAGAUACUAUUUCCACUCAAUACUGAAUAAAAAUUCAGGACAUACUGUUGCACAGGUAGUUUAUUUGAUGGAUUAAUUUUCAAGUGACACAGAGAAAACUGCAGAUAACAAGGAAACCAUCUACUCCCACUUUACUGCACUUCUCAGGCAAAAAAUGAUCAGAGUUUCAGACAAAACAAAGUGACGGCUGUGGGAGUUGCAUUGUGGAAAAAGCACAAACUGCAAGUAAAUUUAGAACAUGAAAAACUUCUACUGUAGGUUCGUUUUAACAGUUAGUGAUACAGUCGACACUCAGGAUGUCCCAAUUCAUUACCGAGGGAAUCUGAAAUUUCUCUGCAGUUAGAUCAGACUGCAUUUAAAUCUAUUAAAUCAUCUGAUAGAUGCAGACCCAGCUGUGACGAUGAUAAAGAUAACUGCUGUAGUUUCAUCAUCGUCCUCACACAUAAACACUGUCACAGUAGAGACUUUGUACACAGCCAUCUGAAAAAUGACCAGCCAUCAUCCUGUGACCCAUAAAAACCACAACUGGGUGGCUGCAGUGGUGCCAGAUGUGGGCAGGUGUUAGCAUAGCUGCUUUACUUCCCUCUGAGCAGGUGGUUAAAGGGGCAGAACAGUGACAGGCUGCUGUGGGGGGACAGUGCUGUUGAUGCAAAUGGACAGCGUGUCACUGAAGAGCACAGUGGUCUCCACAGCCUGUUGUCACAUCCUAUGACACUCAGUGGAUGCUGCAAAGCAGAGAUGCCUUUGAAAUACUAAAAAUAUCAUAUAUACAAUAAUGUUGCAGUCUGUAGAUUUGUGGAAAAUGGUGCACAAAAAGCUGAAACAUGAGGUCUUUCAGUUUUCUGUUACAAAACACGUUUCUUUCAACUGCUGUUAUGAAGGAGCUCCCACGUUGCCACCUGUAGGAAACCUCGUAUGUCAGUUCAUCUCCGAAUUCUCAGCAGUUCCACUUGAAAAAUUUUAGAUUGUGGUGAAAAGCUGCUUCUUUACACUGAUGUUGUUUUUAAUCAAUAAGACAGUGUUAACAUUUGCUGAAUGUCAAGAAGUUAGCAAUGAAUAAUCGCCUUCAGUCAAUAUGUGUGUGUGUGUGUGUGUGUGUGUGUGUGUGUGUGGAA
Molecule: long non-coding RNA, 1925 nt
Organism: Monopterus albus (swamp eel)
Lineage: Eukaryota; Metazoa; Chordata; Actinopteri; Synbranchiformes; Synbranchidae
Exons: 3
Source: RefSeq, a predicted model, not a curated record